UACAGGGGGGGCAAGCGUUGUUCGGAAUUACUGGGCGUAAAGGGCUCGUAGGUGGCCAACUAAGUCAGACGUGAAAUCCCUCAGCUUAACUGGGGAACUGCGUCUGAUACUGGAUGGCUUGAGUUCGGGAGAGGUGAGUGGAACUGCGAGUGUAGAGGUGAAAUUCGUAGAUAUUCGCAAGAACACCAGUGGCGAAGGCGGCUCACUGGCCCGAUACUGACGCUGAGGCACGAAAGCGUGGGGAGCAAACAGG
Molecule: ribosomal RNA, 253 nt
Filed under: uncultured bacterium
Lineage: Bacteria
Description: partial 16S ribosomal RNA
Rfam family: Bacterial small subunit ribosomal RNA
Source: RNAcentral